Molecule: ribosomal RNA, 698 nt
Filed under: uncultured bacterium
Lineage: Bacteria
Description: bacterial SSU rRNA
Rfam family: Bacterial small subunit ribosomal RNA
Source: RNAcentral
UCANCCAUAGUUCGCUUUGGAAACUGUCAAACUUGAGUGCAGAAGGGGAGAGUGGAAUUCCAUGUGUAGCGGUGAAAUGCGUAGAUAUAUGGAGGAACACCGGUGGCGUAAGCGGCUCUCUGGUCUGUAACUGACGCUGAGGCUCGAAAGCGUGGGGAGCGAACAGGAUUAGAUACCCUGGUAGCCCACGCCGUAAACGAUGAGUGCUAGGUGUUGGAUCCUUUCCGGGAUUCGGUGCCGCAGCUAACGCAUUAAGCACUCCGCCUGGGGAGUACGACCGCAAGGUUGAAACUCAAAGGAAUUGACGGGGGCCCGCACAAGCGGUGGAGCAUGUGGUUUAAUUCGAAGCAACGCGAAGAACCUUACCAGGUCUUGACAUCCCGAUGCUAUUUCUAGAGAUAGAAAGUUACUUCGGUACAUCGGUGACAGGUGGUGCAUGGUUGUCGUCAGCUCGUGUCGUGAGAUGUUGGGUUANNNNNNGCAACGAGCGCAACCCCUAUUGUUAGUUGCCAUCAUUCAGUUGGGCACUCUAGCGAGACUGCCGGUAAUAAACCGGAGGAAGGUGGGGAUGACGUCAAAUCAUCAUGCCCCUUAUGACCUGGGCUACACACGUGCUACAAUGGUUGGUACAACGAGUUGCGAGUCGGUGACGGCAAGCUAAUCUCUUAAAGCCAAUCUCAGUUCGGAUUGUAGGCUGC